GGGGGUGACGCGAUUCGAUGGGUAGCGGAAGCUGUCAUGCGAGCUGAGGUUCCAGGGUACUCACAAAAAAACCUGGGGCACCAAAAAUGCCAACGCUUUUAAGCCGGCACAGCCGGCGUUCGCCUACGCAUAACACCGUAGACCAUCUGUUUGCUGAUUCUCGAUAGGCAAAACAGGUGUCAAUCAUCGAGAAAGGGCUGUUUCCCGUGAUCCGGGGGAACAGCGACAUAAACAGGAUCAAAAGGAAGGAAGCUUUGGUCCCGUUCUAACUCUCCUUCCCGCAAAAACGGGACUGCGCUCGGAGAUAUGUCAGACAGAAGCUAUCUAGACGGGGCUUCACCGCCCCCACCUCCACCC
Candidatus Wildermuthbacteria bacterium is the source of this 357-nucleotide non-coding RNA. The record is from Rfam. NCBI's taxonomy places the organism in Bacteria, Candidatus Wildermuthiibacteriota.